Molecule: ribosomal RNA, 504 nt
Filed under: uncultured bacterium
Lineage: Bacteria
Description: partial 16S ribosomal RNA
Rfam family: Bacterial small subunit ribosomal RNA
Source: RNAcentral
GAUAAACGCUAGCGGCAGGCUUAACACAUGCAAGUCGAGGGGCAGCAUAGAAUGUAGCAAUACAAUAGGUGGCGACCGGCGCACGGGUGCGUAACGCGUAUGCAACCUACUCGUCACAGGGGGAUAAUCCGGAGAAAUCUGGUCUAAUACCCCAUAACAUAUGGAUCGGCAUCGGUUCAUGUUGAAAUUUUCGGAGGUGACGGAUGGGCAUGCGUAGCAUUAGCUUGUUGGUGAGGUAACGGCUCACCAAGGCGACGAUGCUUAGGGGGACUGAGAGGUUUUCCCCCCACACUGGUACUGAGACACGGACCAGACUCCUACGGGAGGCAGCAGUGAGGAAUAUUGGUCAAUGGGCGCAAGCCUGAACCAGCCAUGCCGCGUGCAGGAUGACGGCUCUAUGAGUUGUAAACUGCUUUUGUACGAGGGUAAAGUGGGUUACGUGUAACCUUUUGAAAGUAUCGUACGAAUAAGGAUCGGCUAACUCCGUGCCAGCCGCCGCAGUAA